GAUGAACGCUGGCGGCGUGCCUAACACAUGCAAGUCGAGCGAAGCGCUUAAAUUAGCUUUCUUCGGAAUGACGAUUUUUGUGACUGAGCGGCGGACGGGUGAGUAACGCGUGGGUAACCUGCCUCAUACAGGGGGAUAACAGUUAGAAAUGACUGCUAAUACCGCAUAAGACCCCAGCUUCGCAUGAAGCGGUGGUAAAAACUCCGGUGGUAUGAGAUGGACCCGCGUCUGAUUAGCUAGUUGGUAAGGUAACGGCUUACCAAGGCGACGAUCAGUAGCCGACCUGAGAGGGUGACCGGCCACAUUGGGACUGAGACACGGCCCAGACUCCUACGGGAGGCAGCAGUGGGGAAUAUUACACAAUGGGGGAAACCCUGAUGCAGCGACGCCGCGUGAAGGAUGAAGUAUUUCGGUAUGUAAACUUCUAUCAGCAGGGAAGAAAGUGACGGUACCUGACUAAGAAGCCCCGGCUAACUACGUG
RNAcentral lists this ribosomal RNA (481 nucleotides) under uncultured bacterium. RNAcentral describes it as "partial 16S ribosomal RNA". It matches the Rfam family "Bacterial small subunit ribosomal RNA", at positions 28 to 507 of the family's 1533-position model. The record is from RNAcentral.